Molecule: ribosomal RNA, 253 nt
Filed under: uncultured bacterium
Lineage: Bacteria
Description: partial 16S ribosomal RNA
Rfam family: Bacterial small subunit ribosomal RNA
Source: RNAcentral
UACGUAUGGGGCAAGCGUUAUCCGGAUUUACUGGGUGUAAAGGGAGCGCAGGCGGCCUGGCAAGCCUGAUGUGAAAUACCGGGGCCCAACCCCGGGGCUGCAUUGGGAACUGCCAGGCUGGAGUGCCGGAGAGGCAGGCGGAAUUCCUAGUGUAGCGGUGAAAUGCGUAGAUAUUAGGAGGAACACCAGUGGCGAAAGCGGCUCUCUGGUCUGUAACUGACGCUGAGGUUCGAAAGCGUGGGUAGCAAACAGG